RNAcentral lists this ribosomal RNA (274 nucleotides) under uncultured bacterium. RNAcentral describes it as "partial 16S ribosomal RNA". It matches the Rfam family "Bacterial small subunit ribosomal RNA", at positions 523 to 796 of the family's 1533-position model. The record is from RNAcentral.
AUACGGAGGGGACUAGCGUUGUUCGGAAUUACUGGGCGUAAAGAGUUCGUAGGCGGACUGAUAAGUAAGAGGUGAAAUCCCAGGGCUCAACCCUGGAACUGCCUUUUAAACUGUCAGUCUAGAGACCGGAAGAGGUUAGGGGAAUACCUAGUGUAGAGGUGAAAUUCGUAGAUAUUAGGUGGAACACCAGUGGCGAAGGCGCCUACCUGGUCCGGUACUGACGCUGAGGAACGAAAGCGUGGGGAGCAAACAGGAUUAGAAACCCUAGUAGUCC